GUGCUUUCUCAGGCAGCGUAAAUUCUAAAAUUGGAAUGAUACCAAGAUUAGCAUGGCUCCUGUGCAAGGAUGACAUGCAAAGGGAUGGAAAUUAAACUUCA
This 101-nucleotide small nuclear RNA is filed under the name Choloepus hoffmanni (Hoffmann's two-fingered sloth). The record is from RNAcentral. Lineage: Eukaryota; Metazoa; Chordata; Mammalia; Pilosa; Megalonychidae.